GGGUUCUGAUGCUUAUUGCACCACAUGUGUUUUUCUUUGAAACAAACUUGCUUUGGCGGUGGGCCCAGCCUGCCGCCAGAGGUCUAAACUUACAACCAAUUUUUUAUCAACUUGUCACACCAGAUUAUUACUAAUAGUCAAAACUUUCAACAACGGAUCUCUUGGUUCUCGCAUCGAUGAAGAACGCAGCGAAAUGCGAUACGUAAUAUGAAUUGCAGAUAUUCGUGAAUCAUCGAAUCUUUGAACGCACAUUGCGCCCUCUGGUAUUCCGGAGGGCAUGCCUGUUUGAGCGUCGUUUCUCCCUCAAACCGCUGGGUUUGGUGUUGAGCAAUACGACUUGGGUUUGCUUGAAAGACGGUAGUGGUAAGGCGGGAUCGCUUUGACAAUGGCUUAGGUCUAACCAAAAACAUUGCUUGCGGCGGUAACGUCUACCACGUAUAUCUUCAAACUUUGACCUCAAAUCAGGUAGGACUACCCGCUGAACUUAAGCAUAUCAAAAGCCGGAGGAA
RNAcentral lists this ribosomal RNA (509 nucleotides) under Candida albicans. Its description in RNAcentral is "eukaryotic LSU rRNA". The stretch from base 142 to 295 matches the Rfam family "5.8S ribosomal RNA". Lineage: Eukaryota; Fungi; Ascomycota; Pichiomycetes; Serinales; Debaryomycetaceae. The record is from RNAcentral.